UCUAGAGACUAUCUUAAUAUCAAACUAUUCCAUUCUUAAUACAUUGUUGAGGGUGGGGUGGGGGGACAUACGCGCUACAUGGAUAAAAAAAAACUCCCUAUUUUUUCUUGGUUUUUAGAAUCCUAGCUGUUUAGUUUCUGCUUAACUAGUUUGGAGAGAUAUUACCUGCGCACAGAAAUAUUUGGAUUUCUUUUUCAGCAUUAACUAUAGAAACACUUGACUCUCCUUUCGUUAUGUGGAGUGUUGGUUUAAUGAGUCCCAGUCCACUAAGUACACUUGAUUUUGGUGCUUUAACCUAGGUGUUUCUGAUAGAUUGGUCACUCACAGUGGUUCGAUCUUACGCAGGGAAGUGGGAUCUGCUUAACCAAGAGAACAGAGGGUUCAUUUGGGUUGAUAUGGCCAAAAGGAGUAAUGUAUGGAGGGUAGACAAUAGAUAGGUUCCAGAAGAACCCAGAUAUGGGAAUGAGGAACACAUUUGUGGAUAGUUUAUGGAUGAUGGAACAAGUCAGAAUUCCGAGGUGCCAGCCUUUCGUUUUUCAAGACAAUUAGAAGCCGUUUCAGGCAUUGACCUGAGUCAGCUGCGUAAUUUUUGUUUCAGAAUUAUGAGGGACAUUUAUGAGGGGCCUAUCGAGGAGGUGUUGACAAAUGGCACCUUGUGGUAUAAAAAGGAAAGGAACAACGAUACCCAGAAAUGUUGGAUUGUCACGAGGAUUCGUGUUCCAGGUGACUAACUGGAAGAAUCCAUCUCGCCCUUCACGCUGUGCGGCCUGCUUCCUGAAGAGAUGCCCACAGAGGACUGGAAGCCUGGCCUUGCGGGAGAGUUUGGAGUUAUUGCAAACAUGCUGUGAUUCUGCACAUCCACAACAACUCUUUGAAACACCAAAUCACAGGAUUAAUAUAGAUGGAUGAUGUAUUGGUAAAAAGGUCUUUGUAACCCUGUCUCUUUCUCAUCCUAUUUGCCUGUUCAACCAAUUUCCUUUGCUUUACUCUCACGUUUUCCUUCAGAAGUUCAUUUGCUUUAUUGCUUUUGAGGUACCUGUUUGACAUGAUAUGCUUCUCUUGAUUUUGCUCUUGCCCUAUUCCUCCAUUUGUUUUUGUCUAAAGCAAAGAAGCAUUUUUUUCUGUUUUAGGACCCCUUUUCCCAACUGACUAAUAGAAUUGAAGAAGUUUCUAAUCUCUGAUUUUCUUGGUUGAUGGUUAGGAGUAAUCAAGUAAAAAAAUUGUAGCAUU
Molecule: non-coding RNA, 1230 nt
Organism: Thamnophis sirtalis
Lineage: Eukaryota; Metazoa; Chordata; Lepidosauria; Squamata; Natricidae
Source: RefSeq, a predicted model, not a curated record